GACGAACGCUGGCGGCGUGCUUAACACAUGCAAGUCGAACGGAAAGGCCCUGCUUUUGUGGGGUGCUCGAGUGUCGAACGGGUGAGUAACACGUGAGUAACCUGCCCUUGACUUUGGGAUAACUUCAGGAAACUGGGGCUAAUACCGGAUAGGCGCUCCUGCUGCAUGGUGGGGGUUGGAAAGUUUCGGCGGUUGGGGAUGGACUCGCGGCUUAUCAGCUUGUUGGUGGGGUAGUGGCUUACCAAGGCUUUGACGGGUAGCCGGCCUGAGAGGGUGACCGGCCACAUUGGGACUGAGAUACGGCCCAGACUCCUACGGGAGGCAGCAGUGGGGAAUAUUGCACAAUGGGCGGAAGCCUGAGGCAGCAACGCCGCGUGCGGGAUGACGGCCUUCGGGUUGUAAACCGCUUUCGCCUGUGACGAAGAGUGAGUGACGGUAAUGGGUAAAGAAGCACCGGAUAACUACGUG
This 468-nucleotide ribosomal RNA is filed under the name uncultured bacterium. RNAcentral's name for it is "partial 16S ribosomal RNA". It matches the Rfam family "Bacterial small subunit ribosomal RNA", at positions 28 to 507 of the family's 1533-position model. The record is from RNAcentral.